This 253-nucleotide ribosomal RNA is filed under the name uncultured bacterium. RNAcentral's name for it is "partial 16S ribosomal RNA". It matches the Rfam family "Bacterial small subunit ribosomal RNA", at positions 524 to 776 of the family's 1533-position model. The record is from RNAcentral.
UACGGGGGGAGCAAACGUUGUUCGGAAUCACUGGGCGUAAAGGGAGCGUAGGCGGCCAUGUAAGUGAGGUGUUAAAUCCCCCGGCUCAACCGGGGACCUGCACCUCAUACUGCACGGCUUGAGUACAUCAGAGGAGACUGGAAUUCCCGGUGUAGCGGUGAAAUGCGUAGAUAUCUGGAGGAACACCGGUGGCGAAGGCGGCAUCCUGGACCGGUAUUGACGCUGAGGAGCGAAAGCCAGGGGAGCAAACGGG